Long non-coding RNA from Homalodisca vitripennis (glassy-winged sharpshooter), 758 nucleotides. RefSeq lists it as uncharacterized. The transcript has 2 exons. NCBI's taxonomy places the organism in Eukaryota, Metazoa, Arthropoda, Insecta, Hemiptera, Cicadellidae. The record is from RefSeq and is a predicted model, not a curated record.
UAGCAUCUCCCUGCAGGUUGCAAAAAGUAAAUCUGUUCUACUCUAUAGGCAACAGGUUUGACUGGGGGAAUCAGCUAAACCCCAACUGAAAAACUGUCCACAUCUUUGACAGAAGAGACCAACCUUUUGACAACUCUACAGGCAACAGGUUUGACUGGGGGAAUCAGCUAAACCCCAACUGAAAAACUGUCCACAUCUUUGACAGAAGAGACCAACCUUUUGACAACUCUACAGGCAACAGGUUUAACUGGGGGAAUCAGCCAAACCCCAACUGAAAAAUUGUCCACAACAUCUUUGAUAGAAGAGACCAACCAUUUGACAACUGUACAAGUGAAAAAAGUAACUGACCUGUUGAAUGAACCCCUGUCAAUCAACUGCAACUACUCAAAAAAAUCUCUCUGUCAGGUUAGUUGUAAGGAUUCCUCCCCCCCAAAGUGAUGAUGAAGAUUUUAACAUUAUUGUAGUGAAGACAGAUGUUCACCAUCCCAACCUUGCACCUAAACCACACAAACCAGUUAAUGAUCUUACAACCUCAUCUACUACUACACCUGCAAACCACCCUUAAACUCAAAGAUAUUAGCAGAGGGACAAACUCUACAUGACUUUUUCAAUAGAAAUAUAGCAUUUUACAAAAGACAGAUCAUUAACAACAACAUCAUUACAGCUCAUACUGAAAACCAGAUUUUUGUAGAGGCAAUACACAGGAAGAAAGCCAAACUGAAGCACUCUCAAAAAACAAGAAUCUUCACGAAAACCAU